GAUGAACGCUGGCGGCGUGCCUAAUACAUGCAAGUCGAACGCAUAGCGAAAGGUGCUUGCACCUUUCAAGUGAGUGGCGAACGGGUGAGUAGCACGUGGACAACCUGCCUCAAGGCUGGGGAUAACAUUUGGAAACAGAUGCUAAUACCGAAUAAAACUUAGUGUCGCAUGACACAAAGUUAAAAGGCGCUUCGGCGUCACCUAGAGAUGGAUCCGCGGUGCAUUAGUUAGUUGGUGGGGUAAAGGCCUACCAAGACAAUGAUGCAUAGCCGAGUUGAGAGACUGAUCGGCCACAUUGGGACUGAGACACGGCCCAAACUCCUACGGGAGGCUGCAGUAGGGAAUCUUCCACAAUGGGCGAAAGCCUGAUGGAGCAACGCCGCGUGUGUGAUGAAGGCUUUCGGGUCAUAAAGCACUGUUGUAUGGGAAGAACAGCUAGAAUAGGAAAUGAUUUUAGUUUGACGGUACCAUACCAGAAAGGGACGGCUAAAUACGUG
This 497-nucleotide ribosomal RNA is filed under the name uncultured bacterium. Its description in RNAcentral is "partial 16S ribosomal RNA". It matches the Rfam family "Bacterial small subunit ribosomal RNA", at positions 28 to 507 of the family's 1533-position model. The record is from RNAcentral.